RNAcentral lists this ribosomal RNA (426 nucleotides) under unidentified bacterium PIA-11. RNAcentral's name for it is "bacterial SSU rRNA". It matches the Rfam family "Bacterial small subunit ribosomal RNA", at positions 72 to 494 of the family's 1533-position model. The record is from RNAcentral.
AGAGAAGCUUGCUUCUCUUGAGAGCGGCGGACGGGUGAGUAAUACCUAGGAAUCUGCCUGAUAGUGGGGGAUAACGUUCGGAAACGGACGCUAAUACCGCAUACGUCCUACGGGAGAAAGCAGGGGACCUUCGGGCCUUGCGCUAUCAGAUGAGCCUAGGUCGGAUUAGCUAGUUGGUGAGGUAAUGGCUCACCAAGGCUACGAUCCGUAACUGGUCUGAGAGGAUGAUCAGUCACACUGGAACUGAGACACGGUCCAGACUCCUACGGGAGGCAGCAGUGGGGAAUAUUGGACAAUGGGCGAAAGCCUGAUCCAGCCAUGCCGCGUGUGUGAAGAAGGUCUUCGGAUUGUAAAGCACUUUAAGUUGGGAGGAAGGGCAUUAACCUAAUACGUUAGUGUUUUGACGUUACCGACAGAAUAAGCACC